RNAcentral lists this ribosomal RNA (387 nucleotides) under Stenodactylus petrii. Its description in RNAcentral is "partial 12S ribosomal RNA". It matches the Rfam family "Bacterial small subunit ribosomal RNA", at positions 796 to 1381 of the family's 1533-position model. Lineage: Eukaryota; Metazoa; Chordata; Lepidosauria; Squamata; Gekkonidae. The record is from RNAcentral.
UCAGCUAUAAAUCAUGGCAGCUAAACUACAAGCCGCCCGCCAGAGAACUACCAGCGAGAAGCUCAAAACUCAAAGGGCUUGACGGUGUCCCAUACCAACCUAGAGGAGCCUGUCCUGUAAUCGAUAAUCCACGCUUCACCCUACCUGUCCUAGCCCCCAUUCAGCCUAUAUACCGCCGUCUCCAGCCUACCUAGUGAUAGCCCCACAGUAGGCUCCUCUGGCACCCCCAGAUACGCCAGGUCAAGGUGUAGCUAAUGGGCAGGUUAAAGAUGGGCUACAUUUUCUUAACCAAGAAAAAACCAACAACGCUAUGAAACCCCGCCAUAAAGGAGGAUUUAGCAGUAAGCCUGAAAUAAACCACGCCAGACUGAAGUAUGUCCUGGGCCG